UCGAGGACGAACGCUGGCGGCGUGCUUAACACAUGCAAGUCGAACGGAAAGGCCCUGCUUUGUGGGGUGCUCGAGUGGCGAACGGGUGAGUAACACGUGAGUAACCUGCCCUUGACUUUGGGAUAACUUCAGGAAACUGGGGCUAAUACCGGAUAGGAGCUCCUGCUGCAUGGUGGGGGUUGGAAAGUUUCGGCGGUUGGGGAUGGACUCGCGGCUUAUCAGCUUGUUGGUGGGGUAGUGGCUUACCAAGGCUUUGACGGGUAGCCGGCCUGAGAGGGUGACCGGCCACAUUGGGACUGAGAUACGGCCCAGACUCCUACGGGAGGCAGCAGUGGGGAAUAUUGCACAAUGGGCGGAAGCCUGAUGCAGCAACGCCGCGUGCGGGAUGACGGCCUUCGGGUUGUAAACCGCUUUCGCCUGUGACGAAGCGUGAGUGACGGUAAUGGGUAAAGAAGCACCGGCUAACUACGUGCCAGCCGCCGC
RNAcentral lists this ribosomal RNA (483 nucleotides) under uncultured bacterium. Its description in RNAcentral is "bacterial SSU rRNA". It matches the Rfam family "Bacterial small subunit ribosomal RNA", at positions 26 to 518 of the family's 1533-position model. The record is from RNAcentral.